AUAUACUAAAAAAAUUUUUUUAAAAAUUGGAACGAUAUAGAGAAGAUUAUCAUGGCCCCUGCGCAAGGAUGACGCAAAUUCGUGAAGCGUUCCGUAUUAAA
This 101-nucleotide small nuclear RNA is filed under the name Myotis lucifugus (little brown bat). Lineage: Eukaryota; Metazoa; Chordata; Mammalia; Chiroptera; Vespertilionidae. The record is from RNAcentral.